UACGAAAGGUCCAAGCGUUACUCGGAAUUACUGGGCGUAAAGCGCGCGUAGGCGGUCUUGUAUGUCGAUUGUGAAAGCCCCGGGCUCAACCUGGGAACUGCAGUCGAAACUGCAAGACUUGAAUGUUGGAGAGGUUGGGGGAAUACCUAGUGGAGAAGUGAAAUUCGUAGAGAUUAGGUGGAACACCAGAGGCGAAGGCGCCUGACUGGCCAAACAUUGACGCUAAGGCGCGAAAGCGUGGGUAGCAAACAGG
RNAcentral lists this ribosomal RNA (253 nucleotides) under uncultured bacterium. Its description in RNAcentral is "partial 16S ribosomal RNA". It matches the Rfam family "Bacterial small subunit ribosomal RNA", at positions 524 to 776 of the family's 1533-position model. The record is from RNAcentral.